This 604-nucleotide ribosomal RNA is filed under the name Ilyonectria sp. JCM 28164. RNAcentral describes it as "eukaryotic LSU rRNA". It matches the Rfam family "Eukaryotic large subunit ribosomal RNA", at positions 38 to 667 of the family's 3401-position model. Lineage: Eukaryota; Fungi; Ascomycota; Sordariomycetes; Hypocreales; Nectriaceae. RNAcentral also lists the same sequence under 2 other names. The record is from RNAcentral.
GCAUAUCAAUAAGCGGAGGAAAAGAAACCAACAGGGAUUGCCCUAGUAACGGCGAGUGAAGCGGCAACAGCUCAAAUUUGAAAUCUGGCCCUCGGGUCCGAAUUGUAAUUUGUAGAGGAUGCUUUUGGUGAGGUACCUUCCGAGUUCCCUGGAACGGGACGCCAUAGAGGGUGAGAGCCCCGUCUGGUUGGAUACCGAUCCUCUGUAAAGCUCCUUCGACGAGUCGAGUAGUUUGGGAAUGCUGCUCUAAAUGGGAGGUAUAUGUCUUCUAAAGCUAAAUAUUGGCCAGAGACCGAUAGCGCACAAGUAGAGUGAUCGAAAGAUGAAAAGCACUUUGAAAAGAGAGUUAAAAAGUACGUGAAAUUGUUGAAAGGGAAGCGCUCAUGACCAGACUUGGGCUUGGUUGAUCAUCCAGGGUUCUCCCUGGUGCACUCUUCCAGCCCAGGCCAGCAUCAGUUCGCUGUGGGGGAUAAAGGCUUUGGGAAUGUGGCUCCUCCGGGAGUGUUAUAGCCCAUUGUGUAAUACCCUGUGGUGGACUGAGGUUCGCGCAUCUGCAAGGAUGCUGGCGUAAUGGUCAUCAGCGACCCGUCUUGAAACACGGACC